RNAcentral lists this transfer RNA (87 nucleotides) under Pseudomonadota bacterium. Its description in RNAcentral is "Proteobacteria bacterium tRNA-Leu". It matches the Rfam family "tRNA". Rfam says of the family: Transfer RNA (tRNA) molecules are approximately 80 nucleotides in length. Their secondary structure includes four short double-helical elements and three loops (D, anti-codon, and T loops). Further hydrogen bonds mediate the characteristic L-shaped molecular structure. tRNAs have two regions of fundamental functional importance: the anti-codon, which is responsible for specific mRNA codon recognition, and the 3' end, to which the tRNAs corresponding amino acid is attached (by aminoacyl-tRNA synthetases). tRNAs cope with the degeneracy of the genetic code in two manners: having more than one tRNA (with a specific anti-codon) for a particular amino acid; and 'wobble' base-pairing, i.e. permitting non-standard base-pairing at the 3rd anti-codon position. The record is from RNAcentral. Lineage: Bacteria; Pseudomonadati; Pseudomonadota.
GCCCAGGUGGCGGAAUUGGUAGACGCACCAGGUUCAGGUCCUGGCGGUGUAAAAACUGUGGAGGUUCGAGUCCUCUCCUGGGCACCA